Macrobrachium nipponense is the source of this 3517-nucleotide long non-coding RNA. RefSeq lists it as uncharacterized. The record is from RefSeq and is a predicted model, not a curated record. NCBI's taxonomy places the organism in Eukaryota, Metazoa, Arthropoda, Malacostraca, Decapoda, Palaemonidae. The transcript has 5 exons.
UUCAGUUGGAGGACGAGGUUCGGUGCCAAUGUAUCCCCAUUUCCUCGAGAACAUACAACAGUGUCAAGGAAGUUUAUGAAUGGCAGGAGACCGAGGCACUAGUACAAAACCACUUAUUUUGUCGAGUUUUGUUCAGCUGAUGUACAUUUAGGAAUUUACGUUAAUUUUCUAAUACUUCGGAGACGAAUGGUGUUCAUUUGGAUUGGAAGAGACAAUUCAGUAAGGUUUCGAGUGGAAACUGAUUUUAUUCUAGAAGUAUUCUGGUUGCACUUUUGAAUUCGGCUUAAUUUUCAGUUGGUUAAAAGCGAUCCAAUAAGAACCUACGAAUGUUAAUGGACAUGUCGUAUAGCCUGGAAGAUUUUCGUAACGGGAACGAGGAGUGUUAUUAAAGGACAUCUUAUGCAACCAGGAGAGAAUGAUAGCAAUGGCAAAGUCUGUUGAAAAAUCUAGUUACAAUAUGAGUAAAUUUGAUAAAGAUGGCUCUUGAACCGCUUACUUUGCAAGUUUGGAUGUCGUUGUUCUGUUGAACCCGAAGUUGAAUACUACCGCUGAUGUAUUCCCGAAGUUUUCAACACGUUAAACACUGAUUUGCCUACCUGAAGUAUAUGGAUCAUUCAAGUAUUGUAGAGAUAACGGGCCUACAGGACGAAAACUGAUGUCUUGAUAUUUGUAGGUCGUGGAGAGGCUCCUGGAAACACUUGACCACUAAGUUUGACGUAGAGACAGACUUUCUACUGAAGUUAGACUGCUGUUUACAUAUUACCGGAGUUGGUAACAUGUAGCUGAACAUUGACAGCUUUAUAACACGUUGAAGGUAUUCUCAGCAACAGACACUUUAGCAUCUGAAGCAGAUUGCCAAAAUUACAUUGAAGCUUUUUAUCAUGGGAAGAUGCAGGAUUUUGAGUUGCGAAUGAAAAAGCAGAUGCAUUUCUUGAGAGGAUAAAUCUGGUCAAGAUGCCAAGCAGGGAUAUUCAAGGAUGCUUGAUCAUUUUCAAGCAUGAAAAUUAAAUUCUUUGAGAUAAAAGGCAUCAGUAGUGGACCAGAUAGAGAGAUGGAAUAAAGACUACUUCAGCUAAUCUUGAGCAGAGGUGGUCAUUAAGGUGACUUUCAGUAUACGGCAUGUGUAGUGUAUCAUAAUAGACCUAAAAAGGUGACUACUACUGUUACAUCUUCAGUAAGGGACCCCGAAAGUGAUAUUCUGGGAGUAAAAGGCAUCAGCCAUGUUUUCAGAACAGGAGCCAAAGAGAGGACUAAGUAAGUAGUGCCAGAACCGCAGCUAGAAAGAGGAAUCCUUCAGUAGGGAGCCUUGGAAGUGACUUUCCGGGGUUAAAAGGCAUUAGUCGUGUUCAGAACUGCAGGUAUAGACGAGACUUCUUGAAUACAAGGCUUGAGUGUGUCAUUUUGAGAGAUGACAUACAUAACUGCAACGGGAGGGAGGAUACUUGUUAGAGUAUCUUGACAGUGACUUUCUGGGCGACAAAAAACCAAGGAGGAGUCCCACAACCACAGCUCCAGGAAAGACUACUUCAAUAGAAGAAAAAGGCCAAAGCUCAAGAGAGGAUUUCUUCAGCAGUACUAACUCAACCACAACUCGAGAGAGGAAUUUUUCAGUAGUAGAGCAGUCUAGCUGAAAAGCACUGCUUUAGUAGUAUCGCAACCAGAGCCCGAGAGGACCUCUGUACUACCACAACCACUGCUCCAAAGACGACUUUAUGAGGAGGAACACAGCUAAGCUGAGAGAGAACAUCAGUAGGAACACAGAGAGAACGUCAGUAGGAACACAAUCUAGCUAGAGAUCGACUUUUUCAGUACAAGAAACUACCACAGCUUGAGAGGGGACUUCUCCAGUAGAAGAAACAACCACAGUUCGAGAGAGGACUACUACAGAGGAAGAAACUACCACAGCUCGAGAGCGGGUGAAUUAAGUAAAAGCAGGACAACCACAGCUCUCAAGCUAAUUAUUAGCAGAAACAACCAAAGCUCGAGAGGAAACUUCAGCAGAAGAAACAACCACAGCUCGAAAGAGGCCUUCAGUAGUACCGUACAUAACUUGAGAGGGACUUUUUCAGUAGUAUUGUCAGUAAUUCUGUUCCACAACCUCUGUUCGAGAGGGGACAUAUUCAGUAGUAUUAUACCGCAGUACCAGAUGUCUUCAGUAGCAUUACCACAACAGCUCCAGAGAACUUCUAUAGUACCCUACCACAACCUCAGCUCGAGAGAGGACUUCAGUAGUUCCGUACCCCAGUUCCAGUUAACUUCAGUAGUAUUGCAACCACAGCUCGAGAGAAGAUUCUUCAGUAGUACCUACCACAACCACAGCUCGAGAGAAGAUUCUUCAGUAGUACCUACCACAACCACAGCUCGAGAGAGAUUCUUCAGUAGGGAGCCUUAAAAGUGACGUUACUUGUUCAGAACUGCACUUGGAAAGAGAUUACUUGUAGAGAACUUUCUUGCAGCUCUUCAGAACUGCAGUUGGAAAGACAUUUUCUAAUAGAGAAUCUAGAAAGUGACGUUCUUGAGCAGGAGGUCCCGAAUCAUUGAAGGAGGGGAGAUGUUUUGUGUAUCUUGAGUAUAGGUCUUUUGGGUACUUUUUUGGAAAAAAAAGGAAUCCUCGUAUUUUCUGCUUUAUUAACCUUUCCUGAUAAAAAAAAACAGGAAUCAUAGUAUUUUCUGCUUUAUUAACCUUUCCUGAUAAAAAAAAAAAAAAACAUUUUACCUCCUAUACUCCCGCACAGAAAAAAAAAACCUUAUUGAAUGUUAAACCAAGUCGUACUCAACGAACCGCACAGAGAUUUCUUGAAUAUUCACAAAACUAGAAACUCUGCCUAUUCUCUCGUAAACUGGGUUAAACUUUAAGUUCUUUUGAACUGGGUUAAAUUUUAACGUUCUUUUGAUAUGUACUAAAGUAAAUCUUGUAAAUUAAUUUUAAUAUAAAUUUUUUGGUAACACGACAGUUAGAACUCGUACCUCAAUCGAUAAGACGUAGUCACUGAAGUCACAGCACAUGUCUCAGCCGGUACCAUUGUCACUGAAGUCAGUCGCCAUUACCGUUGUAUAUACCGUUGUCGUCCGUGAAACAAAAAACUGAAUUAUUCCUGAAAGAGCUUUAUUAGUGCAUUAUAAAAUACGCUGUAACGGCCACACCUUUAGUUCUCCCUACUUGUUUGCACCAAUGUGUUUGGAUAAAUUCCUACCAACUAAAUAGUUUCUUAACAGAGACUUAUUAACCGAUACCAACAAAGUCAACUCCAACCCCUCAAAAUAGAACACUACCUUACUUUAAAUUAUUUUGUACACUACACCAAAUAAACAUACUCGUAACAAUGUAGGUAUAUAUGAAAGGUUGCCAAACUCGUCUAAGAUUUGCGACCAAAAUGGUCUCGAGUGCCUGAGCAUAUUACGUUAAAAACUGUAACCUCCAUUCUGGCGUUCUAUUUCAAUAAUGUUAAAUCUGAUUGUCCCUAAAUCUGUCAAUUUUACAUGUACGUACUUAAAACAGGAGACAUUGAAAAAUCAU